UAGGGGCAGCAGAGGACCUGGG
This 22-nucleotide microRNA is filed under the name Homo sapiens (human). RNAcentral describes it as "hsa-miR-4688". Lineage: Eukaryota; Metazoa; Chordata; Mammalia; Primates; Hominidae. The record is from miRBase by way of RNAcentral.